AAUUAAUUACAAAGUCGGAGGACCAAAAAAAAAGAAAUUAGUUAAUCUUUUAAUCUCUCUCUCUCUCUCUCUCUCUCUCUCUCUCUCUCUCUCUCCUCCUCUCUCUCUCUCUCUCUCUCUCUCUCUCUCUCUCUCUCAAUAGCCAGGGAAAUGGUUGAAACGUGCACCAACUCACAAGUUGCGACCAUCGCUUUCGAGUUGGACCAACCUGAAGCUCCGGUCAGAGAAUAUGGAUCUCCAAGGUCAUUAUACGUACUAUACUCUUUGAUUAUUUUGACAUCUUUUUUUGGUUAUAUAAUGAUUAUAUUUAAUAUGAUUCAUAAUUUUGUAGCGUGCUCCAAGUUCUUGGACGCCACGGGUAGGAGCCACGGAUCAACUUGGUGAAACCGUUGCAAUUGGUGGAGUUGGCCGGGGAAAGGAUGAAUGUUGAACAGAUGAACGACUUAACAUUGCUAGCCGUCGCCGAGAGCACAACUAUUUUUAUCGACAACAUCCGGAAAGAAACCCAAAGGCGCAACGGAUGAUGUGUUUAAGGGUGUUUAUUUAGUUUGUUGCUUUGAUUUUUCAAGUUUGUGUUUGUAGCUGGUUUAUUUUGUUGCUUUGGUCUAUCGGUUUAUUUUUA
Molecule: long non-coding RNA, 622 nt
Filed under: Capsella rubella
Lineage: Eukaryota; Viridiplantae; Streptophyta; Magnoliopsida; Brassicales; Brassicaceae
Description: long non-coding RNA (CRUB_LNC000644)
Source: RNAcentral